This is a long non-coding RNA of Capsicum annuum, 511 nucleotides long. RefSeq lists it as uncharacterized. The record is from RefSeq and is a predicted model, not a curated record. The transcript is spliced from 3 exons. Lineage: Eukaryota; Viridiplantae; Streptophyta; Magnoliopsida; Solanales; Solanaceae.
ACCUUUUACGAAGAGAACCUAGACGUAUGUUUCUGGAUUUUGCCAUUUCAUCAUACUGAAGUUGAAAUUGUUGGUGCAUUAGGCCGAUACAGUGUAUGCUCCCUUCUCGAAAGGUUCCACAUCUUGUUGCAAGAGCAGUUUAAUUAUGAGAUCACAUCAGGGAGGCCAAAAGUUGCAAAAUGGAUAGAGGAAUUGAACAAGCUUGAUGGCUACAUUCAGACAAAAGCUGAUCCCGAGAUACUGAUCGACUUAUAUAAGAAAAAAUACUUGGCAUAAAACUGCAUAAAGCUCGAUUUAUCAACGAUAUUAAAUUACGAAUAAGUUUUGCUCCCUGCUCCGUUCAUGUCAAGGACUUGAAGGACUAUGCAUUGUUAUUUGUGUAGAUUGUACUUUAGAUUUGUUGCUUGUGCUGGAAACUAGUAUCAGCAUAAGUAAUAGGUUAUCAUCUCAUGUACUAGAAUUCUGUUUCGUGUGCAUAUCAAGCUACUUAAUAAAAUAUUAUUUUUCAUAA